RNAcentral lists this ribosomal RNA (1054 nucleotides) under Salmonella enterica. Its description in RNAcentral is "partial 23S ribosomal RNA". It matches the Rfam family "Bacterial large subunit ribosomal RNA", at positions 1187 to 2167 of the family's 2925-position model. Lineage: Bacteria; Pseudomonadati; Pseudomonadota; Gammaproteobacteria; Enterobacterales; Enterobacteriaceae. The record is from RNAcentral.
CGUAUCACUUAAAGCGAUUCAGCGGAUGACGAUUGACGGAGCGAAGCGACGUCAAAGCGUAUACAAAGUCGAGUCGGUUUAAGGAUACGUUCGUUGGGUAGGGGAGCGUUCUGUAAGCCUGUGAAGGUGUGCUGUGAGGCAUGCUGGAGGUAUCAGAAGUGCGAAUGCUGACAUAAGUAACGAUAAAGCGGGUGAAAAGCCCGCUCGCCGGAAGACCAAGGGUUCCUGUCCAACGUUAAUCGGGGCAGGGUGAGUCGACCCCUAAGGCGAGGCCGAAAGGCGUAGUCGAUGGGAAACGGGUUAAUAUUCCCGUACUUGGUGUUACUGCGAAGGGGGGACGGAGAAGGCUAUGUUGGCCGGGCGACGGUUGUCCCGGUUUAAGCGUGUAGGUGUGUGUUCCAGGUAAAUCCGGUUCACUUUAACACUGAGGCGUGACGACGAGGCACUACGGUGCUGAAGCAACAAAUGCCCUGCUUCCAGGAAAAGCCUCUAAGCAUCAGGUAACAUCAAAUCGUACCCCAAACCGACACAGGUGGUCAGGUAGAGAAUACCAAGGCGCUUGAGAGAACUCGGGUGAAGGAACUAGGCAAAAUGGUGCCGUAACUUCGGGAGAAGGCAUGCUGACACGUAGGUGAAGUGAUUUACUCAUGGAGCUGAAGUCAGUCGAAGAUACCAGCUGGCUGCAACUGUUUAUUAAAAACACAGCACUGUGCAAACACGAAAGUGGACGUAUACGGUGUGACGCCUGCCCGGUGCCGGAAGGUUAAUUGAUGGGGUCAGCGCAAGCGAAGCUCCUGAUCGAAGCCCCGGUAAACGGCGGCCGUAACUAUAACGGUCCUAAGGUAGCGAAAUUCCUUGUCGGGUAAGUUCCGACCUGCACGAAUGGCGUAAUGAUGGCCAGGCUGUCUCCACCCGAGACUCAGUGAAAUUGAACUCGCUGUGAAGAUGCAGUGUACCCGCGGCAAGACGGAAAGACCCCGUGAACCUUUACUAUAGCUUGACACUGAACAUUGAGCCUUGAUGUGUAGGAUAGGUGGGAGGCUUUGAAGUGUGG